CAGGUGUAUGAACUGAGACACAUACAGUCAACUAUUUUACAGUCCUGUGUGUGAUCCAACAGCGCGCCGUCUCCGUAUGCAGAUGGAUCACUUGUUUUCGCCUCAGUGUGUGCAAAGUGUUGGGCGGGUUGAGACAAGAGAUCACAGAACACAGAGGGGGCCAUGAUGACCCCAUCCCAGAGGAGCCUGCUGUUUUGCCUGGAAGGUAAAGAGCUUGGGAUGCAGAGGAGUUUUUUGAUUUAAUCACCGUGCUCCACAGUGCACAAUGUGCACUAGGAGGAGAUGGCAAUUAUAACGCCCAUGCCGGCCCUGCUGUCCUGCCCGUGUGGUGAUGUAUUCCCCGGGGCGUCACAGGGAGACGGCGGCGGGGGCACCGCUACCAUGAAAGAGAGCACAAAUCCUCCUCCUCCCCCCUCCAUCCUCCUCCACCCUCAGACACCAGCAGGCUCAUCACUCUGCGCUAAGAGCCAAUGACGAGCCGGAUCACUGGGGCGUGCCACACUUAGUUAGAGCCUCCGUUUGAGCAGAAUAAACACUUUAAAACAA
Stegastes partitus (bicolor damselfish) is the source of this 546-nucleotide long non-coding RNA. RefSeq lists it as uncharacterized. The record is from RefSeq and is a predicted model, not a curated record. The transcript has 3 exons. NCBI's taxonomy places the organism in Eukaryota, Metazoa, Chordata, Actinopteri, Pomacentridae.